GUUGUUAGUGGCAGACGGGUGAGUAAUGCGUAGGAAUCUACCUAGUAGUAUGGAAUAGCCAUUAGAAAUGAUGGGUAAUACUGUAUAAUCCCUGCGGGGGAAAGAUUUAUCGCUAUUAGAUGAGCCUACGUUAGAUUAGCUAGUUGGUAAGGUAAUGGCUUACCAAGGCUAUGAUCUAUAGCUGGUCUGAGAGGACGAUCAGCCACACUGGAACUGAGAUACGGUCCAGACUCCUACGGGAGGCAGCAGUGGGGAAUAUUGGACAAUGGGCGAAAGCCUGAUCCAGCUAUGCCGCGUGAGUGAAGAAGGCCUUCGGGUUGUAAAGCUCUUUCAAUAGGGAAGAUAAUGACGGUACCUAUAGAAAAAGUCCCGGCAAA
This 377-nucleotide ribosomal RNA is filed under the name Ehrlichia sp. RBd1m. Its description in RNAcentral is "bacterial SSU rRNA". It matches the Rfam family "Bacterial small subunit ribosomal RNA", at positions 88 to 500 of the family's 1533-position model. The record is from RNAcentral. Lineage: Bacteria; Pseudomonadati; Pseudomonadota; Alphaproteobacteria; Rickettsiales; Anaplasmataceae.